ACAACACCGGUUCUCAGCCGAUCACCGAAGUUAAGCAAUGCCGAUCCCAGUCAGUACUUAAAUGGGUGACCGUUGGGGAAUAAUCAGGCGCUGUAA
Non-coding RNA from Acanthosepion pharaonis, 96 nucleotides. The record is from the annotation of a GenBank genome assembly. Lineage: Eukaryota; Metazoa; Mollusca; Cephalopoda; Sepiida; Sepiidae.